RNAcentral lists this long non-coding RNA (1104 nucleotides) under Capsella grandiflora. Its description in RNAcentral is "long non-coding RNA (CGRA_LNC001456)". Lineage: Eukaryota; Viridiplantae; Streptophyta; Magnoliopsida; Brassicales; Brassicaceae. The record is from RNAcentral.
GCUCGUUGACUGGAUUUCCGGGCAACACAAGAGGUUGGAAGAUGUUUUCUUGAAGCUCGAUACGCUGUUUCAAGGUGUGGUCGAUGAUCAUUUACAUCCUGGAAAAAUAUCAAAAGAUCACAGAGAUAUUGUCGAUUUAAUGUUGGAUGUGGCGCAUCAACAAGACAAAGAUGAUGAUUCCUUGAAGCUCACGAUAAAUCACAUUAAGGCACUACUAACGGUAAAAAAAUAAAAAGCUAGACUUGUUUCAACACAUUCGCAUUGAAAACUUAAUCUGCUUAUUUAAAUUAGUUUCCGCGUGUUUGCUAGAAUCUAUUUCUGGGAGGGAUAGACACAGGGGCUAUUACCAUGACAUGGGCAAUGACAGAGCUAGUUAGGAACCCUGAAGUGAUGAAGAAAGUUCAACACGAGAUCAGAGACCGUCUUGGCAACAACAAGGAGAGAAUCACUGAAGAAGAUAUCAAUAAAGUUCCUUUCUUGAACAUGGUAAUCAAAGAAACAUUUAGAUUACACCCAGCAGCUCCUCUUCUGCUCCAAAGGGAAACAAUGGCUCACGUGAAGGUUCAAGGCUAUGAUAUUCCUCCAAAGAGAAGGAUCUUGGUCAAUGCUUGGGCGAUAGGAAGAGAUCCGAAAUACUGGACAAACCCAGAAGAGUUUAACCCCGAGAGGUUUAUCGAUAGCCCUGUCGAUUAUAAAGGAAAACAUUUCGAGUUCUUACCGUUUGGGUCUGGCCGAAGGAUAUGUCCAGGUAUAGCAAUGGGGAUAGCUACUGUGGAAUUGGGACUCUUGAACUUACUUUACUUCUUCGAUUGGAGAGCACCUGAUGGGAUGACACAUAAAGACAUCGAUGCAGAAGAAGCUGGUACUCUUACAGUCAUCAAGAAAGUACCUCUCAAACUUGUCCCCGUUGGAGUUCAGUGAUUGCACCAAACUCCAGUUCCAGACUUUGUAUAAACUUUCUCUGUACAUCCUGUAAUAAACAACGGAAACGUAUGUAAAAAGUAUCUGUAGUAAGAUGAUGUUAGAAAGAACAUGAUGCUGCUUUGCUAUGAAUAGAUAAGUUUCAUCGCAAAAGUUUGGAUAUAGCUGUGCCAUGGACGCUAC